GAGUAUUUAAGGUUCUUAUAGGUUGGAAUUGAGGUAGCCAACCUGAGGUAAAGAUAGGAUCAAGUUUGGUUCUAUUUAAGGUGGCUGGAAGAUUAUUGGGCAUCAUCACUCGAGUGAUCGGAUACGAGUCGGCGUACAUUUUGACCUUCGACAGCGGGAAGGGCUAGACUUCGUGGCAAGGGGUCAGUGACUAGCUAGAGCCUAUUCGAUGUUG
Ananas comosus (pineapple) is the source of this 214-nucleotide long non-coding RNA. RefSeq lists it as uncharacterized. The transcript has 3 exons. The record is from RefSeq and is a predicted model, not a curated record. NCBI's taxonomy places the organism in Eukaryota, Viridiplantae, Streptophyta, Magnoliopsida, Poales, Bromeliaceae.